Molecule: ribosomal RNA, 587 nt
Filed under: uncultured bacterium
Lineage: Bacteria
Description: bacterial SSU rRNA
Rfam family: Bacterial small subunit ribosomal RNA
Source: RNAcentral
CCUACGGGAGGCAGCAGUGAGGAAUAUUGCGCAAUGGGGGAAACCCUGACGCAGCAACGCCGCGUGGGUGAAGAAGGCCUUCGGGUCGUAAAGCCCUUUCGGACGGGACGAACGCUCCGCGGUGACAACCCGCGGAGUCUGACGGUACCGUAAGAAGAAGCACCGGCUAACUCCGUGCCAGCAGCCGCGGUAAUACGGAGGGUGCAAGCGUUGUUCGGAAUUACUGGGCGUAAAGCGCGUGUAGGCGGCCUUGCAAGCCAGACGUGAAAGCCCUCGGCUUAACCGGGGAAGUGCGUCUGGAACUGCUCGGCUCGAGUACGGGAGAGGGAGGCGGAAUUCCCAGUGUAGAGGUGAAAUUCGUAGAUAUUGGGAGGAACACCGGUGGCGAAAGCGGCCUCCUGGACCGAUACUGACGCUGAGACGCGAAAGCGUGGGGAGCAAACAGGAUUAGAUACCCUGGUAGUCCACGCGGUAAACGAUGGGCACUAGGUGUGGGGGGUAUCCACUCCUCCCGUGCCGCAGCUAACGCACUAAGUGCCCCGCCUGGGGAGUACGGCCGCAAGGUUAAAACUCAAAGGAAUUGACGG